Molecule: non-coding RNA, 4121 nt
Organism: Xyrichtys novacula (pearly razorfish)
Lineage: Eukaryota; Metazoa; Chordata; Actinopteri; Labriformes; Labridae
Source: the annotation of a GenBank genome assembly
CAUAAAUGUUCUUCCUUUAGCUGUGAAACUCCGCUGCACUCGGUGAUCGACUCGUCAGGGCUCCCCCACAAACAAGCGGCUGCUGGAGGAGAGUGGGUGAGUUGUGUUUAGUCUCUUUGCUAAAGAAAUCAGGCAAAGCUAAAAAGAUGUUUGAUGGCUAGUAUUAUGGCUGGGACCUUAUAUGGACCUUUUUGGUUGAAGACGUAGACUGCUGUGUAUUGCUAUCAUCCCGUCUUUACUAAAGUUGGUAUAACUAGAGAAGCAAGCAGUCAGCAAGCUAUAUCUCUCGAGGGGGUGUCUAACUUGGUUUUAUGGUCUGUUUGAACAUAACUUAAAUUUACGUUGGAAUAUCCCUUUAAAUUAGCGUUGGUAGUGAGAGCAAACUUGCUCAGUACACCUACACACUAUACAAAAGCACAAUAAACAGUUGUAUUUAUAACAGCAAAAAAGUCCUAGCAAGUCUUAGAAACAAUAAAAACGUAACAGAGAGGCAUUGUCUAACAGAACAAUACUCCAACACAACAUGACCUCUGAAUGAGACGAUAAAUGAGCUCAUUUAUCUGUGGAGGAUUGUUCUAAUUACAGUGACUCAAACCUGAAAUAAAGAAAAGACACAGACAUGAGAAAAUCUGAUAUUAUUACUCAUAAGAUAUUAGGUUCAACUGCGUGGAUGUUCAAACAAGUCAAUCAUGACCUUUAGUUUAAGUACAAGGAAUAAUGUGAAAAAUGGAUUUAUUUGACAUGAGAUUCCCUUCAUCCGCACCUUGAGUUGUACAUCAGUAACGUUUGACUGCCACCUAACUAGAUGUCUCCAUGUCUGUCUAAAACAUGUCUUUCCCCUCCGUGUGCCUGAAAUGAUGCAUUGUGAUGUAGCUGAAUUAAAAUGCGAUGUGUUAUCUUCACGCUUAGUUGUGGUUUGAUGAUUGUCAGAGAAAAACCUUUGAUUCAGCCCUCUCUGUACUUUAGGUUUUAAUUUGACUAGUUCAUCAAAUGAAUUAGAUCCAGCUGAUGAAUCCAGAGACGGUAGUUAUCGUCUCAGCUGGCUCAAAAGGAGAAGAAGAAGAAGAGAGCCUGCAAAUAUGUAACACAUGUCCUAAAGAAUAGUUUGUUUUGGAAAUGCUCGUAUUGAGAUGCAUUUCUUAUGUAUGCAACCACAGACAUCCUUCUUUUUUUGUGCUACACAAAAUGACCAAAAUCUAAUUUUCCUCUCUAUACAGUACAUAUCAGUUUUGUUUGGUUUUAUUCCAUCAUUUAACUAUGUAAACAUACCACACACAAUCCACAAUGCAAAAUAAAACUGAUACCCCCUCCGAAAACCCCAGUUAUUGUUCCUUAUAAUCAAUAUUUACAAUCCGUUGUGUCAUCUGCAUUCAUUUAACAUUAGCUACUUGCCAUCUUUCUUCCAUAAAAUGCUGCCAGCCCGCUACAAAACACUGCCCAUGUAUCAUCACCUUCGCACUCAGCCUCACACCACUUCUGGCCGGGCUCCCGUCUUUGUUGUGUGCGGUUGUCUGGAUGAGGCAGAGGAGAAGAAAGACCGGCAGUCAGACCACUGCAUAUGUUUUUAAUUCUCCUCCAUGCAGACCUUUCUUUCUCCUCUUUUGGCCUCCUCGUGCCCUCACAUCCUUUUUCUCCUCUCCUCUCCUCGCCUGUGUGUUCUUUCUGUCUCCGUGUCCACCAAAUUGCCCAUUAGGCUUUCUAUUUGUCUAUCUGCUGGACGGCCCGUCUGUGGCGUGGCAGCUUGCUAAAAGUAUCCUCCGGUCUGUGCCAAUUACACCAUGGGAGACCACUUCUAACAUUUUAUACUGCAUGGCUGCCAAAAGACGACGAGGUCUUCCUCUUUCACACACUAAACUUAGCAGAAACUCUUUAUGGGGAUCAUGCAACACAUGCAUAUAUGCUCGGCUGCAUUUUUGUUGCAUCCACAAAUUCACCCCCAAUGACAGAAACACCCUGUCUGCUGAAAAGAUGCGACAUUUUUUGUGUUAUAUUUUAAGAAUAUAUGUACGUGGUUUACAACUGGGGACAAUAAAGCACUUCCUCUGCCCUCUUUUUUUGGUUUGAGCGAACAAAAAACUGCAAAAACAAAUCUCACCAAGUACCACAUCUGCUUUUAUCCUCACAGAGUCUUUCGUACACACGUAUAUGCUCUUAAUGUCCCCCCCGCACAUUUCUUUUAAGAAAUCUUUCAAAAAAAAAAAAAAAAAAGUCACCCCCUUUCCAAGAAAAACUGACUGAUCAGCCUCACACAUUUCCAGUCCAACACGGCGACCAAAAGAAGCCGAGCGAUGUGGCUGAAAGCUUAGCUAAACAUUGUUGUUGCAUUCUGUAAUAAAGAGAGGAAACCUACAAAACCAAAGGCCCUCUGAGAGAAAGUUAUUAAUAUCCUGUCAGCAGUAAAUUAACUCUAUGUGUACAUGUCCCUGCCCCCCUUUUCUCUUUGUUUGGUCUACCAGCGGUCCCUCCAUCACCACCGCUGACUGACUUUGUGUCCCCCUGUAUGGCGGUGAGACUGAGACAGCACGGUCAUAAAACUGCUGACAGGACUGGAGAACAAACGGAGCCCAUUUAUAGGGCAGGUCCUCAUGUGUUUGACUUGAGGAAGGAUGAUCUAUAGUCAGCACCGCAAAGUAUUUGUAUGUACUGUAUCUAUAUAGGAAGUUUUUAUACUGAGGUGUGCUCAGAAACCGUGAGAAAUGGUCAAAGGAUGAAGAGGCGGCGACGUAAAAACAAACACGAAUGACAGAAACUGUGUUCAUCCCUGCCUAAGAAAAUAAUUUCAGAGCAAGACAAAUGAACAAAAGGUGCAAAUCUGUGUCCGUCCCGACUGUGUGAACUGAUGCCACACAUGGUGAAAGGAUCAUCUCUCGCAGUCUCACCGAUGACAGGGGCGUUUGCCUGACUGCAGUGACUGUACAGAGUAAUUAGAGGCAGGCUCCAGUAGGUCACAGUUUAGUCUGUAGCGGCCGAGAAAGAGACAGAGUGGGAGUGAGGGCACCGAGGAGAAAAAGGUAAAAAGGUGAACAAGAACUGAAACUGGAGGGAGGUUUAGUCACUGUGGUGAUGGUUUAGUAGUGGAAAAAGGAAUCAGAUCAUAAACAUAAAGACCUUAUGAUUGAUAUUUGUCUGUGAAACAAUCGAUUGAAUCGGUUUCAGACAGUAGGAUACCAUCAGAGAGUUACCAGUUCUCUAUUCACUGUACAGUUUAGCCCACAUUGAGGCGUUUGAGGCACAGGUUUUUCAUGCCACGGCCUUCAAACUGGUGACCGUUUUCAGCAAACAAAAGAAAAUCUCAGAUAAAUUAUAUAAAUACACCCUAAAGACUCAAAAACAGAUUCAUAUAUUAUUAUUUUUGCUUCUUAAUUAGUGAUUUAAAAUAAAAAAAAAGAAAAACUUGUGCUAUUUAUUAUCAGCUACACUCCACCAGUCACCAGAGGAAGCAUAGGUAAAGCUACAUGAUACCCCAAAAGAGGCAAAAGUUUAAGAAUAAAUCCUGCAUUCGUACUAAAUAUUAGGUGAACUUUGUCUCUUCUUUCAAUCAGCCACAAGAUUCACACCACACUCCUCUUUCUCACUUCCAGGACAGUUUGGAGAAGCAACUCUUAUCACCAAGCAGCAGCAGAGAAAGUGGUUGCGCUGGAGGAAAACCCAAAAUACCAUCAGGUCAGGGACAUGAACAUGACACAAGCAGAAGUUUGGGUAAACUUGGACAUGUCAAACUGUUUGAUGGACAGAAAUAAAUCUCUAAAUAAAUGCUUUACCUCUGGGGAAUGUGUGAAUAGGAUGUUAAAUAUUGAAGUUCCUCUUUUUAAGUCAAUUUAUGUUUGUGUUUGUUUUUUUCUGCCCCCUGCUGGUCAUGAAAUCGACAUUGCAGCUUUAAGCAAACACCUUUCACUUAAAACUGGGUCUGAUUUCAAUUCUAUCAUAUUAUUUAUUGGAGAAAUGUCUUAAUAAGCUGAUCAAUACUCAUCAUCUCUUGUCAAGUGAUCAUUUUAAUCUCCAAGAAGAGUUAAAUUUGUUUCAGGGGAAGCCAAUUUGGACUCCUUUUACUCAGUUCACUGUCUGCAUCGUAAUGUUCUUGUCAUCAAAUGCAAACUUUUGCUGUCAAAAGUUAGAGCAAA